GACCCCAACCCUGUUUGUGGUUGACUCGUAAGAAUAUGGGGCUACUUUGAUUUGCAAACUAUGCCAAGGUAAAUGUGUCCUUUGCCAAGACCUUUCCACUUUUCUCUCUGUCUUUUCAGCCAAUCAGCCUCUGCUCUGAGAACCCCCCUUGUCUUUCCUUACAACAGUUGCUUUUAUCAUAGUUACAUUGUUUGAAUUCACUUAAAGAAAACUUUCUUCAACUCUGACCACCACCAUGACAACAAAUAAACUGUCUACGUGUUUUUCAGUGGCAUUCUCUCGGCCUUGGGAAGUCUUCUAUCAACACAACAUGGCAGCAGCACAAUAUGGGUAAGAGGGGGGCAGACUCCAGAGAAAGGUGAAUAGUAGUUAUUGGCCUGCCUUGAAGAUGAACUGGAAAGUGUGGACCCCCUUCCAGUUCAUCAACAUCAACUAUGUACCUGUACAGUUUCGAGUGCUGUUUACCAAAUUGGUAGCAUUAUUUUGGAAUGCUUAGCUUGCAUCUGUGAGGAAGUGAAGCAUCCCAAGAUCUUCUCCCAAAUGACUGAAUGAAGAAGGCACCGUGUGUGUGCCUCAGGAGUUACAUAAUGUUACAAGGGCUGGCCUGUGAAUGCCAGUGCAGCAAGCUGGUACAACCAGGCAAAUUGACUGAGGGGGUGUUUAGGACUUUGGUCAGAUGCUACACAAGGUGCAAAACUAACGAAAUCCUAACACAUUCAAUGUGUUGCUCACAUGCAAAAUAACUUAUAACUGAAAUAAUAUGUCUUAAUUGUAUUCUUACUGAUAUUUAAAAUAUUUAAUGAAUUGAAACACUUGAGUAUGCUUCCUUUGUGCCAAGGUGUAUUUGUGACAGGUUAAAGGAAAUAUUCAUAGCCUGUUAUACAUUGAAAAGUAUUAGUAAGUUCA
Oncorhynchus kisutch (coho salmon) is the source of this 906-nucleotide long non-coding RNA. RefSeq lists it as uncharacterized. The transcript is spliced from 3 exons. NCBI's taxonomy places the organism in Eukaryota, Metazoa, Chordata, Actinopteri, Salmoniformes, Salmonidae. The record is from RefSeq and is a predicted model, not a curated record.